RNAcentral lists this microRNA (24 nucleotides) under Panagrellus redivivus. RNAcentral describes it as "prd-miR-7910a-5p". Lineage: Eukaryota; Metazoa; Nematoda; Chromadorea; Rhabditida; Panagrolaimidae. The record is from miRBase by way of RNAcentral.
UUUGAAAUGGUUCAGCUCCUAUUC